RNAcentral lists this small nuclear RNA (100 nucleotides) under Propithecus coquereli (Coquerel's sifaka). The record is from RNAcentral. Lineage: Eukaryota; Metazoa; Chordata; Mammalia; Primates; Indriidae.
GUGCUCGCUUUGGCAGCACAUAUACUAAAAUUGGAACCAUACAGAGAUUAGCAUGGCCCCUGUUUUUUUAAUGUAAAAAAAAGAAUAUGAAUUUAACUAU